AAAGAGUAUAGUUUUGCAUUGUUUAUGUCCAACGUUCGACUGUUCAUACUAUUUUUUUAAAAAAAUAUGAUUAGUAUUAUUAUUAUUAUUAGAUCAUAAAACAUGAAUAGUACUUUAUGUGUGACUAUUUUUUUAUAUUUUCUCAUAAAUUUUGAAACAAGACGUACGAUCAAACGUUGAACACGGAAACCCACAACUACAUUUAAA
This 207-nucleotide microRNA precursor is filed under the name Oryza sativa Japonica Group (Japanese rice). Its description in RNAcentral is "MIR812 microRNA precursor family". It matches the Rfam family "MIR812 microRNA precursor family". The record is from Rfam by way of RNAcentral. Lineage: Eukaryota; Viridiplantae; Streptophyta; Magnoliopsida; Poales; Poaceae.